UAUAAGUAAAAUACGGAAAAAAUGGAAUUUUUUUUUUACAAAAUUUACUUUUGAAUAUUAUCUUAUGAUCAUAAACAAGCUUCUGUCCAAGUUUGGUAGAAAUCCAGGAUAGUUUAAGAAAGUUAUUAAAAUUUCAAAAACUUUAACCACAGAGUGAAUAUUUGUGGAUGCCGCCGAAGCCAACGGAAUGUAGGAUCGCUAUGUCUCCCUUUUUCGACAAAAGUCGAAGGCUCGAUAAAUAUGACAUUUCUUUAGGUUUAGGGGAAGAAGUAUAAUCCCAAAGGAGUUUUGAUUUUUAUUCAAAAAUAUUUUAGUUGUAUGAGAACAAAAAAAUUCCACCUCUACAGAGGGUGGAUAAAUAACUAAACAUCCUAAGAAUGAAGAGGGUGGAUAAAAAACUAAACAUCCUAAGGAUGAUUUUGAUCAUGUUUGGAUUUAGUUGGAGUGUCAGUUCUAGAGGAGAAGUUUCAAACAACUAGAUGUGUCGGAAAAACGCCAAUGGCCUUGCUUGCAAAAAAAACUUGAAGCCAUUUUUAGGAGUGGAAAUUUGUUAUCAAACUACAUUCAUAGAACAAGCAUGUUAUCUGAAUACAGCCGUUAUCUUGUUUACUGCAGCACUCAUAGACCAACCAUUAAAAUUAACCACACGUUAUGUUGUUAUCCUGCAACAUUCAUUAACCAAACAUGAAACCUGAUCACAACCGGACUACUUUGUUGCGGGGCCAUAAAAAUUACAGGCAGACACCAAGUGAUGAUGAUACAUUUUGUUGUUCAUACUGGCCAUUUCAUUUUUCAGAAUAGUAAUGGUAGCAACCAUUUUUGAUGGUAAUUGGUGUCAUUAACCAUGAUUCAUAAAUCUCAUGAAUAAUGAAUCAUUAACCAAGUUUGGUAGCCAUUUUUCUGAUUAAUUUUCUUUUUUGUCAAACUUUCUUUUUUCAGCAGUAGUUGAGGUCAUAUAUGAUGUCUGUUGGAAUCACCUAACAUAAUUUUCAAAAGGGAUUGCUCAUUGUUGAAAGCCCUAUAGUUCAUAACUUCUUCGUCAUUUGGUCUCUGGUGGAUAGUUGUUUCAUUGGUAAUCAUACCACAUCUUCUUAUCUUUAUAAUUAGUUCCAUGCACAAACAGUAGCAAAAAGGACAAACAUGAGCGACCAAGGAUAAUACGGGAAUGACCCAAUCUUUAUAAUAAGUGAGUUUUGAUAAAAUUUGAAUUCUUAUAUCCAUAAGUAUAACAACAAUUGAUGAGGAUAUAAGAGAACAACAAAUGUUUAAAUUUCUUUGUGGUCAUUCAAUCCACUGGUCUUUACAUUUCAAUCAGUAAAAAUGAGAGAUGUAAUCCAUCAAAAUACGAAUUCAACAAUUGAUAGCCUACUGAGGAAUUUUAAAAGUAAGAACACAGUUUUCACAAAUAUGGUUUAUUUCACGAUAUGAAGGAUUAGACAAACAAAAUAUUAUUUGUAAACUUAAUUGGCACAACAAAAACAAUAAUGAUGUACAAAGGAUAAAUUUCGUCUCAUUCAUGUAUUCUCUUGUUGCCUUUUAACUCAAAUGAAAUAAAUCACUAUGUUUUGGGAAAAAGCACCUCUUUCUGAAAAAAAUUAACCCUUUGUACACAUAUUUG
This is a long non-coding RNA of Mytilus californianus (California mussel), 1618 nucleotides long. RefSeq lists it as uncharacterized. The record is from RefSeq and is a predicted model, not a curated record. NCBI's taxonomy places the organism in Eukaryota, Metazoa, Mollusca, Bivalvia, Mytilida, Mytilidae. The transcript is spliced from 2 exons.